GGGGAUAUAGCUCAGUGGUAAAGCACCUGCCUAGCAUGUGUGAGGCCCUGGGUUUAAUCCCCAGUAUGACCA
RNAcentral lists this transfer RNA (72 nucleotides) under Ictidomys tridecemlineatus (thirteen-lined ground squirrel). RNAcentral describes it as "Spermophilus tridecemlineatus (thirteen-lined ground squirrel) tRNA". It matches the Rfam family "tRNA". Rfam says of the family: Transfer RNA (tRNA) molecules are approximately 80 nucleotides in length. Lineage: Eukaryota; Metazoa; Chordata; Mammalia; Rodentia; Sciuridae. The record is from Rfam by way of RNAcentral.